UCUCCGUAGGUGAACCUGCGGAGGGAUCAUUACAGAGUUCAUGCCCUCCCGGGUAGAUCUCCCACCCUAUGUUAUUAUUACUUUGUUGCUUUGGCGGGCCGUUAGGCUCCGGCCCGACUACCGGCCCCGGCUGGUAAGCGCCCGCCAGAGGACCCAAAACCCUGAAUAUUAGUGUCGUCUGAGUACUAUAUAAUAGUUAAAACUUUCAACAACGGAUCUCUUGGUUCUG
RNAcentral lists this unclassified non-coding RNA (229 nucleotides) under plant metagenome. RNAcentral's name for it is "partial contains small subunit ribosomal RNA, internal transcribed spacer 1, and 5.8S ribosomal RNA". The record is from RNAcentral.